UGAUUGCUUGCUCUAAUCUCAAGAUGGAUGGACAGUGGCUAUCUCUUUUCUUCUAUAGUGGGCCUCCUUCCUUGAUCCUCACAUUUCAUUCGAGUAGAUCAUUUGAUCACCAUAGAAUGGGACUAGACUAGGCUAAGAAAUGAAAUGGAAUGUACCGGAUUUUUAGCACGUACAACCAUCGAAGCAGAGACCAAAGCACAACAAUGAAAAUGGGUAGUCAAUAUUGGUAUAUAAGAUCUAUUCCCAUAUUUCGAUCUUUUUUCAUACGCCCCACCCCCUCUUUACUUCCUUGAAUUCUGUACUUCUUGAAGCAAUGCAAAGACAUGGAAAAGAGAAGUAUGGGCCGGUGGGUGGGGAAAGGCAAGGAAAAGCUAUAGGU
RNAcentral lists this long non-coding RNA (379 nucleotides) under Elaeis guineensis (African oil palm). Its description in RNAcentral is "long non-coding RNA (EGUI_LNC071184)". The record is from RNAcentral. Lineage: Eukaryota; Viridiplantae; Streptophyta; Magnoliopsida; Arecales; Arecaceae.